Molecule: long non-coding RNA, 699 nt
Filed under: Equus caballus (horse)
Lineage: Eukaryota; Metazoa; Chordata; Mammalia; Perissodactyla; Equidae
Description: lncRNA (ENSECAG00000040768.2)
Source: RNAcentral
GAUGUCUUGUUACCUUAUGGCCAGAGUUUCUUUCCUUUUGAAGCAUCACUAUACGUUUCACAAGCUGGCAUUUUUGUGGGCGGUUGUGUGAUGUCGCUAAGAGUGUCCGAGCCUUGGAAACGCAACGGCUACUGCUACUGCUGUUUCACCUCCAGGACGCCAGACACCAAGGUUUCUAUUCAUCAAUGUUCCUCAUACAGUAUAAAAACCAGCAGUGGUCCAAGGAGGAAGCUUGGGUGCUUAUUGAGACCUUGCUGGCUUUGAUGAAGCUACUGCCAUGUUGGAGAGGUGUACAUGGCAAGGUGUAUCUGGCAGCCUCCAGAUAGAGAGAAACUGAGACCCUCAUUCCAAGAACCCAGGAAGAACUGAAUCCUGCCAACUACCACAUGAGUGACCUGCGAAGCUUGUCCUUCCCAAGUUGAGCUGUGAGAUGACUACGGACCCAGCUGACACCUUGAUUGCAGCUUGUGAGAGGGCUUGAAGCAGAGCACCUCAUUAAGCUGUGUCUGGAUUCUUGGCCCACCAAAACUGGGAGCUAAUUAAUGUUGCUUUAAGCCAUUAAUUUUUGGGGUAAUUUGUUAUGCAGUAAUAGACAACUAAUACACAAAAGCUACAAGGAUCAUGUUUUAAUCUAUACUAGUUGAUCUAACUAUAUACUGACAAUAGGUGAAUUAUAUGGCAUGUGAAUUAUACCUCAAU